This 250-nucleotide ribosomal RNA is filed under the name uncultured prokaryote. RNAcentral describes it as "partial 16S ribosomal RNA". It matches the Rfam family "Bacterial small subunit ribosomal RNA", at positions 524 to 774 of the family's 1533-position model. The record is from RNAcentral.
CACGUAGGGGGCGAGCGUUAUCCGGAUUCAUUGGGCGUAAAGCGCGCGCAGGCGGGCGUGCAAGCGCGACCUCUAACCCCGGGGCUCAACCCCGGGCCGGGUCGCGGACUGCACGCCUCGGGUUCGGUAGGGGAGGUCGGAAUUCCCGGUGUAGCGGUGGAAUGCGCAGAUAUCGGGAGGAACACCGACGGCGAAGGCAGGCCUCUGGGCCGACACCGACGCUGAGGCGCGAAAGCCGGGGGAGCGAACA